Molecule: ribosomal RNA, 301 nt
Filed under: uncultured bacterium
Lineage: Bacteria
Description: partial 16S ribosomal RNA
Rfam family: Bacterial small subunit ribosomal RNA
Source: RNAcentral
CAGCCGCCGCGGUAAAACGUAGGGUGCAAGCGUUAAUCGGAAUUACUGGGCGUAAAGCGUGCGCAGGCGGUUAUAUAAGACAGAUGUGAAAUCCCCGGGCUCAACCUGGGAACUGCAUUUGUGACUGUAUAGCUAGAGUACGGCAGAGGGGGAUGGAAUUCCGCGUGUAGCAGUGAAAUGCGUAGAUAUGCGGAGGAACACCGAUGGCGAAGGCAAUCCCCUGGGCCUGUACUGACGCUCAUGCACGAAAGCGUGGGGAGCAAACAGGAUUAGAUACCCGUGUAGUCCCUGUCUCUUAUAC